GAUGAACGCUGGCGGCGUGCUUAACACAUGCAAGUCGAACGUGAUCCAUUAGCAAUAGUGGUGAAAGUGGCGAACGGGUGAGUAACACGUAGGUAACCUGCCCUGAAGCGGGGGAUAACGAUUGGAAACGGUCGCUAAUACCGCAUGAGUCCAUCGAAGCGGGAGUGAGAUGGAGAAAACUGAGGUGCUUCAGGAGGGGCCUGCGUCCGAUUAGCUAGUUGGUGAGGUAACGGCUCACCAAGGCGACGAUCGGUAGCUGGUCUGAGAGGACGAUCAGCCACACGGGAACUGAGACACGGUCCCGACUCCUACGGGGGGCAGCAGUGAGGAAUAUUGGGCAAUGGGCGGAAGCCUGACCCAGCAACGCCGCGUGAAGGAUGAAGGCCUUCGGGUUGUAAAC
Molecule: ribosomal RNA, 400 nt
Filed under: uncultured Caldilinea sp.
Lineage: Bacteria; Bacillati; Chloroflexota; Caldilineae; Caldilineales; Caldilineaceae
Description: bacterial SSU rRNA
Rfam family: Bacterial small subunit ribosomal RNA
Source: RNAcentral